RNAcentral lists this ribosomal RNA (253 nucleotides) under uncultured bacterium. RNAcentral's name for it is "partial 16S ribosomal RNA". It matches the Rfam family "Bacterial small subunit ribosomal RNA", at positions 524 to 776 of the family's 1533-position model. The record is from RNAcentral.
UACGUAGGGCGCAAGCGUUGUCCGGAAUUACUGGGCGUAAAGCGAGCGUAGUCGGUUAUUUAAGUCGGAUGUGAAAUCCCCGGGCUCAACCUGGGAAUUGCAUUCGAAACUGGAUAGCUAGAGUUCGGCAGAGGGAAGCGGAAUUUCUGGUGUAGCGGUGAAAUGCGUAGAUAUCAGAAGGAACAUCAGUGGCGAAAGCGGCUUCCUGGACCAGAACUGACGAUCAGGCUCGAAAGCGUGGGGAGCAAACAGG